UUUGCACGUUCUACGUGGUCAGUCAUCCAAAUAGCGUCAAAUUUGUAUCCGCCCACAACUGUUGCCAAUAUUUUUUGUCAUUGGUUGGACGGUAUUUCAAAUAGGUUCAAAACGCUAAUAAGGGUGGGAGCGUAUGCCUUAAUUUGGUCGCUUUGGCUAUGUACAAAUGAUUUUGUUUUUAAUGGAAGAAAUGCAUCUCCUCUACAGGUUAUUUUCCGGUGUACGCAAUUGCUACGUAUGUGGUCUAUGUUACAACGACCGGAGAACCAACCGCUGUUCAAGGCGGUCUGUAUGCGAUUGAAGCAGGUGGCUAUGGAGGGUUGUUUCCAACAUGGGUGGCAACAUAACCUUCGGAUCGAUCCACCACCUCCAUCGACAUAG
This 381-nucleotide ribosomal RNA is filed under the name Triticum aestivum (bread wheat). Its description in RNAcentral is "partial small subunit ribosomal RNA". Lineage: Eukaryota; Viridiplantae; Streptophyta; Magnoliopsida; Poales; Poaceae. The record is from RNAcentral.